RNAcentral lists this ribosomal RNA (649 nucleotides) under uncultured bacterium. RNAcentral's name for it is "bacterial SSU rRNA". It matches the Rfam family "Bacterial small subunit ribosomal RNA", at positions 43 to 738 of the family's 1533-position model. The record is from RNAcentral.
CAGGCCUAACACAUGCAAGUCGAACGCUAUAUUUAUAUAGAGUGGCGCACGGGUGAGUAACACGUGGGAAUCUGCCCUUCUGCCUGGGAUAACAGUUGGAAACGACUGCUAAUACCGGAUACGCCCUUCGGGGGAAAGGUCCGCCGCAGAAGGAGGAGCCCGCGCUCGAUUAGCUAGUCGGCGAGGUAAUGGCUCACCAAGGCGACGAUCGAUAGCUGGUCUGAGAGGAUGAUCAGCCACACUGGGACUGAGACACGGCCCAGACUCCUACGGGAGGCAGCAGUGGGGAAUAUUGGACAAUGGGGGCAACCCUGAUCCAGCAAUGCCGCGUGUGUGAUGAAGGCCUUAGGGUUGUAAAGCACUUUCACUGGUGAAGAUGAUGACGGUAACCAGAGAAGAAGCCCCGGCUAACUUCGUGCCAGCAGCCGCGGUAAUACGAAGGGGGCGAGCGUUGUUCGGAAUUACUGGGCGUAAAGGGAGCGCAGGCGGUUCAUUAAGUUAGGCGUGAAAGCCCCGGGCUCAACCUGGGAACUGCGCUUAAUACUGGUGAGCUAGAAAACAGGAGAGGGUAGUGGAAUUUCCAGUGUAGAGGUGAAAUUCGUAGAUAUUGGAAAGAACACCGGUGGCGAAAGCGGCUACCUGGCCUGAU